CCGGCCCCGGGCAGCCCUGAGGCGGCCGCCGGGGGCGGACGAGCGCUGGGGAAGCGGCGGCGGGCCCGGCCCCCGCCCGGGGCUCUGGUGGCGACAGCUGGGAAGAGCUGGCCAAGAGGCAGAGGGAGGUUUAGUGGCAACAGAAAGCACUGUGGCUGACUGUCAACUACAUUACUAUCAGUUUUCUCCAAAAACAAGGAGUAAAGCCUUGUGUGUUUACCUGUGCCGCCUUUGCUGCUGGCUUCCAAUCUUUGAGUAUGGACAAUUUAAGGGUAUUUAUUGCACAAUCAAGGAACUCCAGCAUAUCAAAAGGCAAGAUGCCAUCUAGGUCUUACCAGGAACUGAGUCAAGACCUGCAGCCUCCAGCUGAGCUAUACAGCUACCAGGGAUGUAGAAGGUGGCUCCGUGUUCUCAAUGCCCCUUACACUGUCACAUAAAUUCCUCUUCUGCAUGUGCAUAAAAAUGGAAUUUCAGGCAAUGUUAAUAAAACCUCUAAAAUGACACCUCAUGCAGCAAACCCUUUUCAUUCCUCUUUGCACAGCCAGGUUUCCUUUUUCUUACUGAGCUCAUGGUGUUCAGGGAAAGAGCUGAACGUUAUCCUGUCCAGCACAGCGCCCCAACAUUUAACCAAAUCCAGUUUCAGAAUCUUAAUCUGGCAAUUUAAGGAUAAGGUAAACAAAUACCACAGCUGCCUCACAGCACCAACUGAGAAAAGAAAAGAAUUCUUGUAAACCAGUUUGCAUGGUGUAAACCUGAUGCACAGAGGUAAAUCUCACAUGGUAUUUUCUGUUACAAGCAUCUCUUCUGUUGAACAGCUAUUGCUCCUCAGAAAAUAUUCAAAGGGCUAAACUCCAUUUUCAAGGACAAGGCUAACAGAAUUCAAGGGUGGAGAUUCUCCUGUUUUCCUUCCACACUCUGCUACAACCUACUGUUUUCACAGCCCUC
Long non-coding RNA from Cygnus olor (mute swan), 945 nucleotides. RefSeq lists it as uncharacterized. Lineage: Eukaryota; Metazoa; Chordata; Aves; Anseriformes; Anatidae. The transcript is spliced from 3 exons. The record is from RefSeq and is a predicted model, not a curated record.